UGCGUAGGCGGUUUGAUAAGUCAGAGGUGAAAGCCCACAGCUCAACUGUGGAAUUGCCUUUGAUACUGUUAGACUUGAAUCAGGUUGAGGUUGGCGGAAUGUGGCAGUAGCGGUGAAAUGCAUAGAUAUGCCAUAGAACACCAAUUGCGAAGGCAGCUGACUAGACCUGUAUUGACGCUGAGGCACGAAAGCGUGGGGAGCGAACAGGAUUAGAUACCCGAGUAGUCC
This 228-nucleotide ribosomal RNA is filed under the name uncultured bacterium. Its description in RNAcentral is "partial 16S ribosomal RNA". It matches the Rfam family "Bacterial small subunit ribosomal RNA", at positions 568 to 796 of the family's 1533-position model. The record is from RNAcentral.